AUGGUGGGUUCGCCGACGAAGCGGCGGGCGAUGAGGAGGCCGCUGGAGAAGGCCGGGGUGGUGGGGCUCGCCGUCGUGGCCACGGCGACCGCCGCGCUGCUGCUGCUGCUGCUCGUCUGCACCGCGUCGCUCCGCUACAACGCCGCCGUCAACUACGCGCUCGCGGCGCCCAGGAAGCUCUGGAGCGGCGGGGUCUCCAUCGCGGCCGACGCGUCACCGUCGCCGUCGCCGGAGAGGGGUGCGGCGGCGAUGGCGGCAGAGGCGGAGGAGUGCGACCUGUUCGACGGGAGCUGGGUGUGGGACGACAGCUACCCGCUCUACGACUCCAAGGACUGCCCCUUCUUGGACGGCGGGUUCCGGUGCUCCGAGAACGGCCGGCCGGACACGUCCUAUGUCAAAUGGCGGUGGCAGCCGUCGCGCUGCGAUCUUCCCAGAUUUGAUGCCAAAUUCAUGCUCGAGAAGCUACGGAAUAGAAGAGUAGUAUUCGUUGGUGAUUCAAUUGGAAGAAACCAAUGGGAGUCUCUGCUUUGUAUGCUCUCUAGUGUUGUUCCCAACAAGAAGUCCAUCUAUGAAAUUAAUGGAAGUCCCAUCACAAAGCACACGGGUUUCUUGAUUUUCAAGUUUAGCGACUACAAUUGCACUGUGGAGUAUUACAGAUCUCCUUUUAUAGUCCUUCAUGGCCGUGCACCAGAUGGAGCCUCUAAGGUUGUUAAGUACACAAUUAAGGUGGAUGCCAUGGAUUGGAUGUCAGACCGUGGUAAGUGGAGCAAUGCUGAUAUUUUGAUCUUUAACACAGGGCAUUGGUGGAACUACGAGAAAACAAUUAGAGGGGGUGCCUAUUUUCAAGAAGGCGGUAAGGUGAAGAUGAAGAUGACUGUUAUUGAUGCGUACCAAAAAUCAAUACAAACACUAUUCAAUUGGGUUCACAAAAAAGUUAACACAAGCAAGACCCAGGUCAUCUUCCGUACUUAUGCUCCUGUGCACUUCAGAGGUGGCGACUGGAAUAGUGGAGGGAGUUGCCACUUGGAAACUCUUCCUGAUGCGACACCGUUUAAAUCGCUGGAGCAAUGGGCUGACAAGCUUGAGCCUGUCCAUAAUGUUCUUGGGAGCAGCACAAGACCCAAGCUGCCUGGGUUAGCUAUACUGAACGUGACACAAAUGACAGCGCAGCGAAAAGAUGGUCACCUGUCAGUUUACAUCAGCCCUUCGGGGCCUGUCCCCCUGCGCAGACAGGAUUGCAGCCAUUGGUGCUUGCCUGGAGUUCCUGAUACCUGGAACGAGCUUGUGUACGCCAUCUUCAUGAAAAGGCAAACAAUGAUGGACCAAAAUGUUUCUCUUGGUGCUUCAAGAACGUUGAACACAAGCUGA
Molecule: ribosomal RNA, 1368 nt
Filed under: Triticum aestivum (bread wheat)
Lineage: Eukaryota; Viridiplantae; Streptophyta; Magnoliopsida; Poales; Poaceae
Description: partial small subunit ribosomal RNA
Source: RNAcentral